RNAcentral lists this long non-coding RNA (1788 nucleotides) under Mus musculus (house mouse). RNAcentral's name for it is "RIKEN cDNA 2610307P16 gene". The record is from RNAcentral. Lineage: Eukaryota; Metazoa; Chordata; Mammalia; Rodentia; Muridae.
GGGACUUGGAACAAAAGGGGAAACUCUGAUGAACUCCUUCUCCAGCUCCCUGGACGCCCGAGUAUCUCUUUCUCGCAACUUUGUCAACGCGACUUUCUCCGCUGUCAGGCUGCGCAAAAGUAUCCUAGCGCCUCGCAGGCUGCAACAAUGGAAACAAUGUCCCUUCAAAGUGCGACGAAGUGGAGGGAGAAGGUGUCAUACCAGCGACUCCAAGAGUCAUGUCACCCACUUAGCAGGAGUACUUCUACUGAAAUGCCUUCGAAUUUCUCUUACUGGAUAUAUACCUACCAGCCGCUAGCAUGAAGAUGCCAGGACCGCUGCAAGUUAGCACUGGACAAAGUAGCAUCAACUUCUUCAUUUAGAGUUUCUUCAGUUAAAUUGCUGGGAUUUUCGACAAGGCUUUCCUUAUGUGGAUUAUUGGAGUGUGAUGCCCGAGAAUUCUCUACUUGUAGAAGCACGCCCACGGGACUGCAGAAGCCUUCACACCCACCCAGCACGCUCAGAUCAUCCAGUAACCAACCCAGGAAGUUCUUGUAAGCAUGCAUUUCUUAGUCAACACUGAAUGCCUUUAGACCGAGGUCAACCUUUUCAGCUGGUACCGUGGUUUACACUGCUGAAAGUACUGUCUUCAACCUUACCAAUGUCAGUGGCGGCGACGGUGGCGUCACCAUCACCAUCAGAGAAAAAGAAAUAUGCCUUUAUGUCAUGGUAAGAGAUGGGAAUGAGUGAUGGCCAUCCAGUGACCAGCUGGAUCUGACUGCCUUACAAGACGCAUGUGUAUGAUUAAGAGAGAGACAUUCGUGACUCCCAGAUGUACCUCCUUCCUGUCCCACAGUGUUCCUGAAGGGAGUGAGUUAUGGGGUAACUUAUAACACAGCAGGCUCUUCCUCAAGAUAGCUCUUGUCAAAACAGGAAGACGAAACUCGGGUUUCCAUGAGGAGACCACAGCUUGGGAUCCUGUCUGGAUGUACAAGCAGAAGCAUCUUCAUACUUUUCCAUUUCUAACCAUCAUGCCUCACCCCACCCUCCCAAGGCGACAUCUGCAGAGAGGUGGAACCAUCUAGGGAGGCCUGCCACUGUUUGCUGAGCUCCGGGUGAGGAUGAAGACACUUUGACAUGGCCAGCUUCAGACUCGGGAUCUGUCGGUGUUAGCAGCCGAAGGAGAAUGAGGAGGAAGAGGAGGAGAAAGAGGAGGAGGAAGUAAGACAGAGGGGGACAAGAGGACCAAGAGGGCACAUGGCUGAGGAGGAGGAGAACAACAACAACAACAACAACAACAACAACAACAAGAAGCUUGGUGUUUUCAGGAUGUGUUCCUGAGUCUCGUGAGUAGCACAUGGCAGUUGUUGUCACCUUGGGCUGAGCCGUGAAGAUUCUCACCCUCCCUUGUUGGGGAUGAACUCCGGGAUUCUAAGGAGAGGUCAGCAGGUGUUUCACAGACUGUUCCUGUUGGAGGAUUUGUCUGAUACUCUUCUCCUGAUUAGUCUGGGCUCUACAUUUCCCCAAGGGUGAAACUUGGAAGCCCUCUCCAGGAUGCAGCAGGUAGCUGAGGAGAAAACGAAGACUGACCAGCCCAGAGCUCAGAGCUUCCUCCCAUGCUCAGGAUUUACCACCAAUGCCAUUACAUCGGCCUCUUCUUGUAUGCCUCUGGAAACCACAUGUGUCCUCUGUUUGUAAUGGUUUGGCUAUGGUUGCUGGCCCCUCUUGGACAUUGUUUUCAGAACUUAAAGAAACAUUGCUUUAAAGAUUUAUUAGAACAUAUUUAAAAUAAAACCAUCUUCUCAUUUA